This 467-nucleotide ribosomal RNA is filed under the name uncultured bacterium. RNAcentral's name for it is "bacterial SSU rRNA". It matches the Rfam family "Bacterial small subunit ribosomal RNA", at positions 28 to 507 of the family's 1533-position model. The record is from RNAcentral.
GAUGAACGCUGGCGGCGUGCAUAACACAUUCAAGUCGAACGGUGACGAGGACCUCGGUCCUCUGAUCAGUGGCGGACGGGUGAGUAACGCGUGAGCAACCUACCUAUCAGAGGGGGAUAACACAGGGAAACUUGUGCUAAUACCGCAUGACACAUACUGAUCGCAUGUUUAGUAUGUCAAAGAGAAAUCGCUGAUAGAUGGGCUCGCGUCUGAUUAGAUAGUUGGCAGGGUAACGGCCUACCAAGUCUACGAUCAGUAGCCGAACUGAGAGGUUGAACGGCCACAUUGGAACUGAGAAACGGUCCAGACUCCUACGGGAGGCAGCAGUGGGGAAUAUUGGGCAAUGGGGGGAAACCCUGACCCAGCAACGCCGCGUGAAGGAAGAAGGCCUUCGGGUUGUAAACCGUUAAACAUCAGGGACGAACAAAUAGACGGUACCUGAUAGGAAGCCACGGCGUAACUACGUG